Molecule: ribosomal RNA, 279 nt
Filed under: uncultured archaeon
Lineage: Archaea
Description: partial 16S rRNA
Rfam family: Archaeal small subunit ribosomal RNA
Source: RNAcentral
GAGACCCACGCCAACAGUUGCCAGCAUGUCCUCCGGGAUGGUGGGGACACUGUUGGGACCGCCUCUGCUAAAGAGGAGGAAGGAAUGGGCAACGGUAGGUCAGCAUGCCCCGAAUUAUCUGGGCUACACGCGGGCUACAAUGGGUGGGACAAUGGGUAUCGACACCGAAAGGUGAAGGCAAUCUCCUAAACCCAUCCUUAGUUCGGAUUGUGGGCUGCAACUCGCCCACAUGAAGCUGGAAUCCGUAGUAAUCGUGUUUCAAAAUAGCACGGUGAAUAU